RNAcentral lists this ribosomal RNA (254 nucleotides) under uncultured bacterium. RNAcentral's name for it is "partial 16S ribosomal RNA". It matches the Rfam family "Bacterial small subunit ribosomal RNA", at positions 524 to 776 of the family's 1533-position model. The record is from RNAcentral.
UACAGAGGGUGCAAGCGUUAAUCGGAAUUACUGGGCGUAAAGCGUGCGUAGACGGUUGCGUAAGUCAGAUGUGAAAGCCCCGGGCUCAACCUGGGAAUUGCAUUUGAGACUGCGUAGCUAGGGUGCGGAAGAGGGAAGCGGAAUUUCCGGUGUAGCGGUGAAAUGCGUAGAUAUCUGGAGGAACACCGGUGGCGAAGGCGGCGUCCUGGACCAACACUGACACUGAUGAGCGAAAGCCAGGGGAGACAAACGGG